This 619-nucleotide long non-coding RNA is filed under the name Nicotiana benthamiana. RNAcentral's name for it is "long non-coding RNA (NBEN_LNC013185)". Lineage: Eukaryota; Viridiplantae; Streptophyta; Magnoliopsida; Solanales; Solanaceae. The record is from RNAcentral.
AAUGGUGUAAGUUUAAACCAUGGAAAUUCAAACCUAAAUAUGAAACAUACAAGGCAAAAUUCAAAGCUAAUCCCAAAACACAAUAACACGAUUAGGAAAAAAUAACAUUCCAUCAAGCUAACAUGGCUUAAAUUUUACUUAUCAUCCUUAAGUAUACCUAUCCGCAUUCCAAUCAAGGCAUUUUUAAAGUUAAAUAUUACAUCACAAACAAAUGAAGAAAGCAAGUAUAAUUGACUAUAAACAACUUCAUAUAAUAUUCCAUAAUUCGAUCCCAACUUCAACUAACUUUUAGAUGAUGACCAUAGUGUCAUUAGGCAUACCUGGAAGUGAAAAUAAAACCAAAUCAAGUAUCAGCACUCUUAAAGUAAAGGAUCAGUGAUGGAAACAAACAGAUUCAGUGGUGGAACAAGUGAAAUAAUCCCAGAAGCCUCAAUGGAACAGUAAGUUUUGACCAACUUGAAUCAGAAGCUUUCGAAAACCAUCAAUUUCAAUCCCUUUCCUUCGAAUGAACAAAACAUUCCCAAAGCAAGAAAAAGCUAACUUCAAAUUCUAUAAAAUCCUAAUGAAAAUGUCUAGAAAAAUUUUACUAGCUAAUGCCCUUUUUCAGACUCUAUUUCCU